GGUCAAGUGAAGAAGCGCAUACGGUGGAUGCCUUGGCAGUCAGAGGCGAUGAAAGACGUGGUAGCCUGCGAUAAGCUUUGGGGAGUCGGCAAACAGACUGUGAUCCAGAGAUCUCUGAAUGGGGGAACCCACUCAGCACAAGCUGAGUAUCUUGUACUGAAUACAUAGGUACAAGAGGCGAACCAGGGGAACUGAAACAUCUAAGUACCCUGAGGAAAAGAAAUCAACCGAGAUUCCCUUAGUAGUGGCGAGCGAACGGGGACCAGCCCUUAAGCUGGUUUGAGAUUAGUGGAACGCUCUGGAAAGUGCGGCCAUAGUGGGUGAUAGCCCCGUACACGAAAAUCUCUUGCCAGUGAAAUCGAGUAGGACGGAGCACGAGAAACUUUGUCUGAACAUGGGGGGACCAUCCUCCAAGGCUAAAUACUACUGACUGACCGAUAGUGAACCAGUACCGUGAGGGAAAGGCGAAAAGAACCCCGGAGAGGGGAGUGAAAUAGAACCUGAAACCGUAUGCGUACAAGCAGUGGGAGCCUACUUUGUUAGGUGACUGCGUACCUUUUGUAUAAUGGGUCAGCGACUUAUAUUCAGUGGCGAGCUUAACCGAAUAGGGGAGGCGUAGCGAAAGCGAGUCUUAAUAGGGCGUUUAGUCGCUGGGUAUAGACCCGAAACCGGGCGAUCUAUCCAUGGGCAGGUUGAAGGUUAGGUAACACUGACUGGAGGACCGAACCGACUACCGUUGAAAAGUUAGCGGAUGACCUGUGGAUCGGAGUGAAAGGCUAAUCAAGCUCGGAGAUAGCUGGUUCUCCUCGAAAGCUAUUUAGGUAGCGCCUCAUGUAUCACUGUAGGGGGUAGAGCACUGUUUCGGCUAGGGGGUCAUCCCGACUUACCAAACCGAUGCAAACUCCGAAUACCUACAAGUGCCGAGCAUGGGAGACACACGGCGGGUGCUAACGUCCGUCGUGAAAAGGGAAACAACCCAGACCGUCAGCUAAGGUCCCAAAGUCAUGGUUAAGUGGGAAACGAUGUGGGAAGGCUUAGACAGCUAGGAGGUUGGCUUAGAAGCAGCCACCCUUUAAAGAAAGCGUAAUAGCUCACUAGUCGAGUCGGCCUGCGCGGAAGAUGUAACGGGGCUCAAACCAUGCACCGAAGCUACGGGUAUCACCUUUAGGUGAUGCGGUAGAGGAGCGUUCUGUAAGCCUGUGAAGGUGAGUUGAGAAGCUUGCUGGAGGUAUCAGAAGUGCGAAUGCUGACAUGAGUAACGACAAUGCGAGUGAAAAACUCGCACGCCGAAAGACCAAGGUUUCCUGCGCAACGUUAAUCGACGCAGGGUUAGUCGGUCCCUAAGGCGAGGCUGAAAAGCGUAGUCGAUGGAAAACAGGUUAAUAUUCCUGUACUUCCAGUUAUUGCGAUGGAGGGACGGAGAAGGCUAGGCCAGCUUGGCGUUGGUUGUCCAAGUUUAAGGUGGUAGGCUGAGAUCUUAGGCAAAUCCGGGAUCUCAAGGCCGAGAGCUGAUGACGAGUGCUCAUUAGAGCGCGAAGUGGUUGAUGCCAUGCUUCCAAGAAAAGCUCCUAAGCUUCAGAUAACUGGGAACCGUACCCCAAACCGACACAGGUGGUUAGGUAGAGAAUACCAAGGCGCUUGAGAGAACUCGGGUGAAGGAACUAGGCAAAAUGGCACCGUAACUUCGGGAGAAGGUGCGCCGGCGAGGGUGAAGGACUUGCUCCGUAAGCCCAUGCCGGUCGAAGAUACCAGGCCGCUGCGACUGUUUAUUAAAAACACAGCACUCUGCAAACACGAAAGUGGACGUAUAGGGUGUGACGCCUGCCCGGUGCCGGAAGGUUAAUUGAUGGGGUUAGCGCAAGCGAAGCUCUUGAUCGAAGCCCCGGUAAACGGCGGCCGUAACUAUAACGGUCCUAAGGUAGCGAAAUUCCUUGUCGGGUAAGUUCCGACCUGCACGAAUGGCGUAACGAUGGCGGCGCUGUCUCCACCCGAGACUCAGUGAAAUUGAAAUCGCUGUGAAGAUGCAGUGUAUCCGCGGCUAGACGGAAAGACCCCGUGAACCUUUACUAUAGCUUUGCACUGGACUUUGAAUUUGCUUGUGUAGGAUAGGUGGGAGGCUUUGAAGUGGGGACGCCAGUUCUCAUGGAGCCAUCCUUGAAAUACCACCCUGGCAACUUUGAGGUUCUAACUCAGGUCCGUUAUCCGGAUCGAGGACAGUGUAUGGUGGGUAGUUUGACUGGGGCGGUCUCCUCCCAAAGAGUAACGGAGGAGUACGAAGGUGCGCUCAGACCGGUCGGAAAUCGGUCGUAGAGUAUAAAGGCAAAAGCGCGCUUGACUGCGAGACAAACACGUCGAGCAGGUACGAAAGUAGGUCUUAGUGAUCCGGUGGUUCUGUAUGGAAGGGCCAUCGCUCAACGGAUAAAAGGUACUCCGGGGAUAACAGGCUGAUACCGCCCAAGAGUUCAUAUCGACGGCGGUGUUUGGCACCUCGAUGUCGGCUCAUCACAUCCUGGGGCUGAAGCCGGUCCCAAGGGUAUGGCUGUUCGCCAUUUAAAGUGGUACGCGAGCUGGGUUUAGAACGUCGUGAGACAGUUCGGUCCCUAUCUGCCGUGGACGUUUGAGAUUUGAGAGGGGCUGCUCCUAGUACGAGAGGACCGGAGUGGACGAACCUCUGGUGUUCCGGUUGUCACGCCAGUGGCAUUGCCGGGUAGCUAUGUUCGGAAGAGAUAACCGCUGAAAGCAUCUAAGCGGGAAACUUGCCUCAAGAUGAGAUCUCACUGGAACCUUGAGUUCCCUGAAGGGCCGUCGAAGACUACGACGUUGAUAGGUUGGGUGUGUAAGCGCUGUGAGGCGUUGAGCUAACCAAUACUAAUUGCCCGUGAGGCUUGACCAU
RNAcentral lists this ribosomal RNA (2893 nucleotides) under Pseudomonas fluorescens. RNAcentral's name for it is "23S ribosomal RNA". It matches the Rfam family "Bacterial large subunit ribosomal RNA". Lineage: Bacteria; Pseudomonadati; Pseudomonadota; Gammaproteobacteria; Pseudomonadales; Pseudomonadaceae. The record is from RNAcentral.